Long non-coding RNA from Elgaria multicarinata webbii, 207 nucleotides. RefSeq lists it as uncharacterized. The transcript has 3 exons. The record is from RefSeq and is a predicted model, not a curated record. Lineage: Eukaryota; Metazoa; Chordata; Lepidosauria; Squamata; Anguidae.
GGAAAAACUCAUAAAGCUUCAAAAAGAGAGGCAGAUGCUGGCCAGUUGAAGGAUCCGGGCAGGCCAUGAGCUGCAGUGAAAUGUCCUCUCACGAAUGCCUAAAGGAGAAGGGAAUUGAGCCCCUCAUCCAUUUUGACCAGGUGAGUCUUCACUACCAGCAGAUGGCUGGUGGACACCUGGAAGGAAACCUGGCGGCUCUGCACCCCC